CAGCCGCCGCGGGAAUACGAAGGGGGCUAGCGUUGUUCGGAUUAACUGGGCGUAAAGGGCGCGUAGGCGGCCUGGGGCGUCCCAUGUGAAAGGCCACGGCUCUACCGUGGAGGAGCGUGGGAUACGCUCAGGCUAGAGGGUGGGAGAGGGUGGUGGAAUUCCCGGAGUAGCGGUGAAAUGCGCAGAUACCGGGAGGAACGCCGAUGGCGAAGGCAGCCACCUGGUCCACUUCUGACGCUGAGGCGCGAAAGCGUGGGGAGCAAACCGGAUUAGAUACCCCCGUAGUCCCUGUCUCUUAUAC
This 301-nucleotide ribosomal RNA is filed under the name uncultured bacterium. RNAcentral's name for it is "partial 16S ribosomal RNA". It matches the Rfam family "Bacterial small subunit ribosomal RNA", at positions 509 to 807 of the family's 1533-position model. The record is from RNAcentral.